RNAcentral lists this small RNA (408 nucleotides) under uncultured Glomeromycotina. Its description in RNAcentral is "eukaryotic LSU rRNA". Lineage: Eukaryota; Fungi; Glomeromycota. The record is from RNAcentral.
AGAGUUAAAUAGUACGUGAAAUUGUUGAAAGGGAAACGAUUGAAGUCAGUCGUGCUAGUGAAAAAUCAGUUUGACGGGCUUUGAGUUCGGGUGUAGCGACAGGGUCAAACCGUCUCUAUUUUGGACUUGGGAUUUGUCGGACGUACUUUUUCUUUGGCAGGUCAGCGUCGGUUUCGGAGGUUGUAAAAUACUUGGGGGAAAGUAGCUCUGCUUCGGGAGAGUGUUAUAGACCCUGGGAGAUGCAGCCUGUGGGAUCGAGGAUUGCAGCAAAUGCCUUUGGCUUGUCGCCUAUCUCUGGUCGUUACCUCUCUUGUGACAACAUUCUUGCCACCGGAGGGUACUAAUGCCCAUUACUUAGAGCGAUCGAAAAUUUUGCUAAGGAUGCUGACGUAAUGGCUUUAAACGACC